GUCGUGAGAUGUUGGGUUAAGUCCCGCAACGAGCGCAACCCCCGUCGUAUGUUGCCAGCAUUUAGUUGGGGACUCAUACGAGACUGCCGGUGACAAACCGGAGGAAGGUGGGGAUGACGUCAAGUCAUCAUGCCCCUUAUGUCCAGGGCUACACACGUGCUACAUUGGCCGGUACAAAGGGCUGCGAUACCGCGAGGUGGAGCGAAUCCCAUAAAGCCGGUCUCGGUUCGGAUUGGAGGCUGAAACUCGCCUCCAUGAAGGUGGAGUUGCUAGUAAUCCCAGAUCAGCAACGCUGGGGUGAAUACGUUCCCGGGCCUUGUACACACCGCCCGUCACACCACGAAAGCGGGUAACACCCGAAGCCGGUGACCCAACCCUUACGGGAGGGAGCCGUCGAAGGUGGGACUCGUGAUUGGGGUGAAGUCGUAACAAGGUAGCCGUACCGGAAGGUGCGGCUGGAUCACCUCCUUUCUAGGGAGCUCUUCAAUGAGCGCGCCUGUCUGCCGCUUCGCAUUCCGUGAAGCGCGACGGCCAGGCGUCCUAGCAUGUCGACCGAGCUUGGAUGCUGGCGUGAUUUCGAUUGCGCCGGCCAUGCUGCUGAGUUUUGAGAGACCGACCGCGCGUCGGCCUGUCCUGCGGGAAGCCCUCUUGUGGGCCCCACGCGGGUAGGCGGCUCGGCCGCGGAGCUCUCCGCCGGACCUUGAAAACUGCACAGUUGGCCGAACACGGGGAUUCGAUGAGCCCCCGUGUUCAAUUGGGUAUCACCCAGCUAUAUCGCGGACCCUGCAUUUGUCUUUCCGUUGGGGUCCGUAGAAGCUGUUGAUCACCGUCAAGAUAGUAAGGGCACACGGUGGAUGCCUUGGCAUCAGGAGCCGAAGAAGGGCGUGGACGACUGCGAUAAGCAACGGUGAGGUGUUGAACAGCCUUUGAUCCGUUGAUUC
This 941-nucleotide small RNA is filed under the name uncultured Conexibacter sp. RNAcentral's name for it is "bacterial SSU rRNA". The stretch from base 1 to 471 matches the Rfam family "Bacterial small subunit ribosomal RNA", at positions 1064 to 1533 of the family's 1533-position model. The record is from RNAcentral. Lineage: Bacteria; Bacillati; Actinomycetota; Thermoleophilia; Solirubrobacterales; Conexibacteraceae.